GACGAACCGUGCGAACGUUGUUCGGAAUCACUGGGCUUAAAGGGCGCGUAGGCGGCUUCGCAAGUCCGGGGUGAAAGCCCCCAGCUUAACUGGGGAAGUGCCUCGGAUACUGCGGAGCUCGAGCGAGGUAGGGGCAGCGGGAACUUCCGGUGGAGCGGUGAAAUGCGUUGAUAUCGGAAGGAACGCCGGUGGCGAAAGCGCGCUGCUGGACCUCUUCUGACGCUGAGGCGCGAAAGCCAGGGGAGCAAACGGG
RNAcentral lists this ribosomal RNA (253 nucleotides) under uncultured bacterium. RNAcentral describes it as "partial 16S ribosomal RNA". It matches the Rfam family "Bacterial small subunit ribosomal RNA", at positions 524 to 776 of the family's 1533-position model. The record is from RNAcentral.